AACAUUAUGAAUUUAUUUCAGCAAUAACAACAAGUGUUAUAUGUAUUUAUCACUAAAUAGAGUGCGGUAUUCAUAUUUAUUUAUUUAUUCCUUCUUUACCCAUAUCCAAUCCCCAAACCUAAACAUCUUCACGUAAACCAUCUACUCACUGCAGCGAAUACACUCAUUCCGACUCAAUGGAAACACAGCACAGCCCCAACGAUUAGGGAAUGGUUUCAGAAAACAGAGCACAUAAGAGUGAUGGAAGAACUUCAUUACUCGUUCACUAACAAAUACACCCUAUAUGCAUGAAUAUGGGAACCAUGGCUGAAGUUCAUGCAGAAUAAACCCAGAAGUUAGAACUUAGAAUGGGCCUAAGAGGCAUAGGGUAUGACCAUAUUUUCAAUGCACAACUUUCAAUUGAAUCCCUUGAGUUACAGUUGGAUCGAACAAUCAAACCAUACAAUGGGGCUCCUACGCUCACCGCUUGAUGCUAUUUUAUACUCAUGGUAACUAUUACGAGCCUCAACGUACGUGAUAUACAAUACAAAUAACCAUGCAUCCAUAAUAAAGAUUCUUAUCACUCGACAGUCACACUCUCACCAACAUGGUGCUAAAUCUAACACACAAGAAGACACCAGGCCACCUGAGGGGUUUAAACACUAUAUUCAAAUCGGAGGCACCAAUAUGAGCACUCCAUGUAAUUCAUCCAUACAUGGGUAUAUGACCUACUGUCCGCCUCUACAGGUACAAUGCAUGUAACUAAGUGUUAAUGGUGACGAUUGUACGAAAAAUGUGCACCUUCCUAAUGUCGACAAUGGUACUGAUGUUAUUGGUUUAUAUGAAUACUGUGAAUAACUUCCUUUAUGUGAACUGUCAUGUAACCGUCUGGAUGAACAAUAAUAAUUUACAAAAAAAUUAAAAAACAAAUAAAAC
Non-coding RNA from Pelobates cultripes (western spadefoot toad), 915 nucleotides. The record is from the annotation of a GenBank genome assembly. Lineage: Eukaryota; Metazoa; Chordata; Amphibia; Anura; Pelobatidae.